UAGUGGCGCACGGGUGCGUAACGCGUGGGAAUCUGCCCUUUGGUUCGGAAUAACAGUUGGAAACGACUGCUAAUACCGGAUGAUGACGUAAGUCCAAAGAUUUAUCGCCAGAGGAUGAGCCCGCGUAGGAUUAGCUAGUUGGUGUGGUAAGAGCGCACCAAGGCGACGAUCCUUAGCUGGUCUGAGAGGAUGAUCAGCCACACUGGGACUGAGACACGGCCCAGACUCCUACGGGAGGCAGCAGUGGGGAAUAUUGGACAAUGGGCGAAAGCCUGAUCCAGCAAUGCCGCGUGAGUGAUGAAGGCCUUAGGGUUGUAAAGCUCUUUUACCCGGGAUGAUAAUGACAGUACCGGGAGAAUAAGCUCCGGCUAACUCCGUGCCAGCAGCCGCGGUAAUACGGAGGGAGCUAGCGUUGUUCGGAAUUACUGGGCGUAAAGCGCACGUAGGCGGCUUUGUAAGUUAGAGGUGAAAGCCUGGAGCUCAACUCCAGAAUUGCCUUUAAGACUGCAUCGCUUGAAUCCAGGAGAGGUGAGUGGAAUUCCGAGUGUAGAGGUGAAAUUCGUAGAUAUUCGGAAGAACACCAGUGGCGAAGGCGGCUCA
This 600-nucleotide ribosomal RNA is filed under the name Sphingomonas sp. Air84. RNAcentral describes it as "bacterial SSU rRNA". It matches the Rfam family "Bacterial small subunit ribosomal RNA", at positions 93 to 728 of the family's 1533-position model. Lineage: Bacteria; Pseudomonadati; Pseudomonadota; Alphaproteobacteria; Sphingomonadales; Sphingomonadaceae. The record is from RNAcentral.